RNAcentral lists this transfer RNA (60 nucleotides) under Pandorites podoceroides. RNAcentral's name for it is "tRNA-Leu". It matches the Rfam family "tRNA". From Rfam's summary of the family: Transfer RNA (tRNA) molecules are approximately 80 nucleotides in length. Their secondary structure includes four short double-helical elements and three loops (D, anti-codon, and T loops). Lineage: Eukaryota; Metazoa; Arthropoda; Malacostraca; Amphipoda; Pontogammaridae. The record is from RNAcentral.
AUUGAAGUGGCAGAUUAAUGCAAUAGACUUAAAAUCUAUAGAUGGCCUAGCCCUUUAAUA